UACUCUUGACAUCCACAGAACUUAGCAGAGAUGCUUAGGUGCCUUCGGGAACUGUGAGACAGGUGCUGCAUGGCUGUCGUCAGCUCGUGUUGUGAAAUGUUGGGUUAAGUCCCGCAACGAGCGCAACCCUUAUCCUUUGUUGCCAGCACGUAAUGGUGGGAACUCAAAGGAGACUGCCGGUGAUAAACCGGAGGAAGGUGGGGAUGACGUCAAGUCAUCAUGGCCCUUACGAGUAGGGCUACACACGUGCUACAAUGGCAGAUACAAAGUGAAGCGAACUCGCGAGAGCAAGCGGACCACAUAAAGUCUGUCGUAGUCCGGAUUGGAGUCUGCAACUCGACUCCAUGAAGUCGGAAUCGCUAGUAAUCGUAGAUCAGAAUGCUACGGUGAAUACGUUCCCGGGCC
This 405-nucleotide ribosomal RNA is filed under the name uncultured bacterium. RNAcentral's name for it is "bacterial SSU rRNA". It matches the Rfam family "Bacterial small subunit ribosomal RNA", at positions 976 to 1380 of the family's 1533-position model. The record is from RNAcentral.